UGCGUAGGCGGAUUGAUAAGUCAGUGGUGAAAACCUUCAGCUCAACUGGAGACUUGCCAUUGAUACUGUUAGUCUUGAGUACGGUCAAGGUAGGCGGAAUGUGUAAUGUAGCGGUGAAAUGCUUAGAUAUUACACAGAACACCGAUUGCGAAGGCAGCUUACUGGGCCAUUACUGACGCUGAGGCACGAAAGCGUGGGGAGCGAACAGGAUUAGAUACCCUGGUAGUCC
RNAcentral lists this ribosomal RNA (229 nucleotides) under uncultured bacterium. RNAcentral describes it as "partial 16S ribosomal RNA". It matches the Rfam family "Bacterial small subunit ribosomal RNA", at positions 568 to 796 of the family's 1533-position model. The record is from RNAcentral.